Long non-coding RNA from Centruroides sculpturatus (bark scorpion), 786 nucleotides. RefSeq lists it as uncharacterized. The transcript is spliced from 4 exons. Lineage: Eukaryota; Metazoa; Arthropoda; Arachnida; Scorpiones; Buthidae. The record is from RefSeq and is a predicted model, not a curated record.
UCUGGAAAUUUGGAAGAUAAAUCGCUGUUUCUCGUAGAUUCAUCAUCUCUAGAUGUUAGCUGUCCGCUUCAAUGUUAUCAAACCGUCUUUUUUUUUCUUUUUUUCACGAUAAAGUCUGUCAUGUAUUCUGCUUAGUGUUCAUUAGGUUCUAUUAAUUCUUUCCAAUAUAAUUGUGCAGACGUUCUCCGCAUACAAAUGACCUUAUCCUUCCUUACGCUGUCACAUACAUAUCUAAGGAUACAUUAAUAACGCGUUAUCUAAUGUUUUAUGAGUUGUUAACGCCUGCAGUUAUUAUACGCCAACUUGGCUGGGAAAAACAAAAAUAUAUUUAUAUUGUGACGAAUUUUUCAAUCGGUAUUGUCACCGUGUUAAUUAUAUUAUUGUUAGUUCGAAAUAAAUCUUUAUCGUUGGUACAAGAUUAUUUUAUUUCUUUUAAUACAUUUUUAAAUUCGGAAGCUCUCGAAAUAUAAUUCCGGUAUGUGUUUUUUUCGAUACGGUGGUAGGCGCCCGUGGCAAAGCCAGCCGUCGUCUUCUCUUAUUUACUCGUUAGAUCCCAAUCCGUUGUCGGAAACCGUCGUUAAGCCAACCAUCCGAUUUCGUACCGGAUUAGUAUUUUACGUCGAGUUUACAUUUCUGGAAAUAUUAUAACCGCUUUUACGUCUAAUUUCGGAUUUUUGGAAAACCGUCGUAAGACGAGCCAUUCCGUUAUAGCUUUAAGCUUUCGUUCUCCAAUAUAGUGUCGCGCAAAUAACGGACAAAUAUGCCACUUAAAUAAAAUUCGACAAA